Molecule: long non-coding RNA, 379 nt
Organism: Suricata suricatta (meerkat)
Lineage: Eukaryota; Metazoa; Chordata; Mammalia; Carnivora; Herpestidae
Exons: 2
Source: RefSeq, a predicted model, not a curated record
AGCUAUUAGAAAUUCUUCACACAGUAAAAUGAUUAUAUUCACCUGGACAGAGAGUUGCAUUUUGGGGGGAAUAAAAACCAGGAUAUUCAUCUAAACAAUGCCAUUGUUUAAUGACUUGUAGAAGAACUUUCUUCUCCCUCCAUCAUAAUCACUUGCUCUGUCUGUUAAAGAAGCCCUCUUCUCUGCAUCUGCAAUUCUCCUCUGAAGCCCCACAUCAUCAUCAUCAUGAUCAUCAUGAUCACCAUCAUCACCCAGAUCAUCUGAUAGAAUGAUGUUAUGCCUCUGCUCCACACUUGCUUCUCCUCACCUCCACUUCAUGUUAAUGGACUACUUUGGAACAGAUGUAUGCUAGGUUCUCAAUAAAGAUAGUGGUAGUGAU